This is a long non-coding RNA of Macaca mulatta (Rhesus monkey), 1618 nucleotides long. The record is from Ensembl. NCBI's taxonomy places the organism in Eukaryota, Metazoa, Chordata, Mammalia, Primates, Cercopithecidae.
AUGCUCUACUCUAGCCCAGAUGGAAUCUACAGUAUCUGGUGGAAUGAAGGCAACAAAAAUGUACUUGACAGCAGAGACCUGGUGUUCGUCUGCCUACAGGUUGCCACUUGGGCAAAUUUUCAGCUUGUUCCUGUCAAAAGGAUGUACUAUUUUCAGGAAAAAUGCUUGCUGACCAGCCAAGAAUAAAACACAUCUCACAUGGUACAAUCUUCUUUUACCUCCCAGAUGACUCUAAUGCCACUUACUAAGGAUGCCAGAAGAGGUUUCCUGAGGAAGUAACAAUCAAUGUGAAUUAAUACCAUCCUGACAUUCAGCAGACCCAAAUAAAACACGACUAUAUUUAAAAGAAUGGAAAAUAAAAAGAUUAUCCUCAAAAAUAACUUAGUGUGCAAUUUCUUGCCAUAUAAAAGGAAGCUCUGGUAUGGAAAAAUGAUAAACAUCCUGCAUUUGUUAAUAAAGGAAGCAUUACAUUCAGUUUGGUAACAGCAACUUUUUUAAAAGUGAUGAGUCACAAUAUUCAGUUCCUUCCUGGCGUUACUCAGCUACGUGUGGGUAAAAGAGGAUAGUACUGGGAACUAGGCUCUCUGUAUCCCAACCAAGGCCACUAAGACAUUGCAGGGAUUUGAGCAAGAAAACAAGCCUGGCUAGACUUCAGUAACUCCUCUGUAAAACCAGGGGGUGAGAAGAUAAGCGAAUUUGAGAAUCUCUUCCAUUUCCAAUUGGCUACAGUUCCAUUGUCUUAAAUAUUUUACUGAUUAUGUAUACUAGUAAAUACAUGGUUAAUAAUCAUCUUUCUAAAGCUGCAAAAAAGUCAUUUCUUUUCAUUAUUCAAACUGAAUACACUAGAACUAAUAUGUUAUGAAUUUUCUAUAAUUAACAUUUUAUGAUCAAAAUUAUAAUACCUAUCCUAGUUCUAUUACUUUUAAAGAGCUCCAAAAGACAUACACAGUAACAUUCAGAUCAUUCUCUUUUCAUAAGUUUUUUGAUUGCUAAGCUAUCAAGAUGAAAAAUAAUCCCAUGAAAAUGUGCUUUCUUUUAAAUGAGUAAUAAGCACUACAAAAAUCCAGCUGAAUUCUUGCAGUAUAUGGUUUAGGACUCCAACAUACGAGAUUUCUUAAACUAUUUGACAUUGUUUUCAACACACACAAAAAAAGUUAGCAAAUGAAUACCACAGUCAAAUGUUAACUAUCUGCUAAGUGGGAUGGCAAGAGAGAACUAGUACACAUAACCUUAAAUUGUGGAGAGUUGGGGAAGACAUAUAAUUGGGCACUGGAAUGUGUCUUAUUCUUAUAUUUGAAUAAAACUAUAUCUGACGUUCUAAAAACUGACAAUACUGUACUUUCAACUGAGUAAACAAUGAAAACAUCCUAGGAAAAAGCAACUCAAGAGAACUAAAAAACAUUCUAGUUAGUAAAUAUUUUGGCUCACAUCUUAGAAAACAAGAACAAUAUGCAAUGUUUAAAAAGACAUUUUAAACUCUGCUAUGUUAGACUAGUGUGACAAAGUGAAUUACAAACAUUAAUACUGUCAUUAAAUAUUUAGAAAAAUUCUUGCAGAAUAGAUCUCUAAAAGGGGUCAUGUUGUAUAAACUCAAGACAGUAUUGUUAUCAAGUUUGCU